This 421-nucleotide ribosomal RNA is filed under the name uncultured bacterium. RNAcentral's name for it is "bacterial SSU rRNA". It matches the Rfam family "Bacterial small subunit ribosomal RNA", at positions 356 to 774 of the family's 1533-position model. The record is from RNAcentral.
GAGGAAUAUUGGUCAAUGGGUGCAAGCCUGAACCAGCCAUCCCGCGUGAAGGACGACUGCCCUAUGGGUUGUAAACUUCUUUUGUAUAGGGAUAAACCUACCCUCGUGAGGGUAGCUGAAGGUACUAUACGAAUAAGCACCGGCUAACUCCGUGCCAGCAGCCGCGGUAAUACGGAGGGUGCAAGCGUUAUCCGGAUUUAUUGGGUUUAAAGGGUCCGUAGGCGGACUUAUAAGUCAGGGGUGAAAGCCUGUCGCUUAACGAUAUAACUGCCAUUGAUACUGUAAGUCUUGAGUAUAUUUGAGGUAGCUGGAAUAAGUAGUGUAGCGGUGACAUGCAUAGAUAUUACUUAGAACACCAAUUGCGAAGGCAGGUUACCAAGAUAUAACUGACGCUGAGGGACGAAAGCGUGGGGAGCGAACA